Molecule: ribosomal RNA, 492 nt
Filed under: uncultured bacterium
Lineage: Bacteria
Description: partial 16S ribosomal RNA
Rfam family: Bacterial small subunit ribosomal RNA
Source: RNAcentral
AGUGAACGCUGGCGGUAGGCCUAACACAUGCCAGUCGAACGGCAGCACAGUAAGAGCUUGCUCUUACGGGUGGCGAGUGGCGGACGGGUGAGGAAUACAUCGGAAUCUACUUUUUCGUGGGGGAUAACGUAGGGAAACUUACGCUAAUACCGCAUACGACCUACGGGUGAAAGCAGGGGAUCUUCGGACCUUGCGCGAUUGAAUGAGCCGAUGUCGGAUUAGCUAGUUGGCGGGGUAAAGGCCCACCAAGGCGACGAUCCGUAGCUGGUCUGAGAGGAUGAUCAGCCACACUGGAACUGAGACACGGUCCAGACUCCUACGGGAGGAAGCAGUGGGGAAUAUUGGACAAUGGGCGCAAGCCUGAUCCAGCAAUACCGCGUGGGUGAAGAAGGCCUUCGGGUUGUAAAGCCCUUUUGUUGGGAAAGAAAAGCAGCAGGUUAAUACCCCGCUGUUCUGACGGUACCCAAAGAAUAAGCACCGGCUAACUUCGUG